Molecule: long non-coding RNA, 927 nt
Organism: Neltuma alba
Lineage: Eukaryota; Viridiplantae; Streptophyta; Magnoliopsida; Fabales; Fabaceae
Exons: 4
Source: RefSeq, a predicted model, not a curated record
CAGCUUAAGCUGUCGGUGAGCAAACAAGAAAAUUUUUUGCUGCAAUGGCUAGACAGUUCGCUGAAUACAAAACCGUGGUUGGUCUGAAUUGGGGCCUGGAGUGAGGGGAUGCCAAGCUUCUACUUGAUUUUUGGGUGCAGAUGUGCAGUAUGAAUUCAAAUUUCUUUUGCGCAGUAGAUAUUGAAGCAUCUAAUCCAUAAGCAUCAAGUGAAAGUUCUAAGAAGAUGAGUGGUCAUUAAGAAACAAAAGCUGUAACUUCAGAAAACCUCUGACUUUGGAAGGAGAGCAAAAUAAAGUUGCUGACUCGAUUGAUUUUGGUGCUUGGGACUUCGAGUGCCUAGUUCCUAUCAUUCCCAGUGAAAUCUUACCAACACUUAUUUCCAUGCUACCUCUAAUGCUUGAAGCUGAAAAUUGACUUUGUUAAAUUGUCUAACUCCCCAACGAAAGGAAGAGUGGCGGACGAGUGAGUAACGCAUAAGAAUCUGCCCUUAUAGGAGGGAACAAUAGCUGGGAACCGCUGCUAAUACACCGGAGGCUGAGGAGCAAAAAAGGAAGAUUCCAUCUGAGGAGGGGCUUGCAUCUGAUGUAUUACUCAAAACUGAAAAAAGUUUUGUUCAUUUGCAGAAUAUUGACUUUGUUCAAUUGUCCAACUCCCCACGGCAUGCGUGGCAACGUCAACCCUUGAAUUGGGUUAAAUUAAAUGUUGAUAGAGUGAUGUCCUCUUCUAGAAACCGAGCUAGUUGUGGGGGUGUUUUUAGAGAUCAUAUGCGCUCGUGGACUGUGGAAUUUUCUCAUAGCCUUCGCAUUUGUAGUGCGUUUGAAGCAGAGCAAUGGGCUGCUCUCAAGGGGUUGCUAAUGAUUGCCUGGGAUUAGAUUCCGCCACUCUCAGUUUAUUUGCUGUUUUAGGGCCUUAGCCCCCUUCUGUAU